This 484-nucleotide ribosomal RNA is filed under the name uncultured bacterium. Its description in RNAcentral is "partial 16S ribosomal RNA". It matches the Rfam family "Bacterial small subunit ribosomal RNA", at positions 29 to 523 of the family's 1533-position model. The record is from RNAcentral.
AGUGAACGCUGGCGGCGUGCUUAACACAUGCAAGUCGAACGAGAACGGAAUAUAGCUUGCUAUAUUUGUCAGCUAAGUGGCGCACGGGUGAGUAAUGUAUAGAUAACCUGCCCUUAAGGAAGGAAUAACAGUUGGAACGACUGCUAAUGCCCUAUAUGCCUUUAAUACAUAAGUAUGCAAGGGAAACGCUUUAGUGCUAGAGGAUGGGUCUGUAUGGUAUCAGUUAGUUGGUGAGGUAAUGGCUCACCAAGACUAUGACGCCUAACUGGUUUGAGAGGAUGAUCAGUCACACUGGAACUGAGACACGGUCCAGACUCCUACGGGAGGCAGCAGUGGGGAAUAUUGCACAAUGGACGAAAGUCUGAUGCAGCAACGCCGCGUGGAGGAUGACACAUUUCGGUGCGUAAACUCCUUUUAUAUAGGAAGAUAAUGACGGUACUAUAUGAAUAAGCACCGGCUAACUCCGUACCAGCAGCCGCAGUAA